Molecule: long non-coding RNA, 158 nt
Organism: Ipomoea triloba (trilobed morning glory)
Lineage: Eukaryota; Viridiplantae; Streptophyta; Magnoliopsida; Solanales; Convolvulaceae
Exons: 2
Source: RefSeq, a predicted model, not a curated record
CUUCAUCCCCUUUCCCAUUUCGUAUUCCUCAUUCCCAUUUCCGUAAGAGAGAGAGAGAGAGAGAGAGAGAGAGAGAGAGGGAGGGAGAGAGAAGCAAUUUUCGAGCUUGGAUCGCGAUUGGUUCGGGUUUUAAGGUGAAUUUGGGGAAAGAUCCAAGA